UCCAGACUCCUACGGGAGGCAGCAGUGAGGAAUAUUGGUCAAUGGACGGAAGUCUGAACCAGCCAUGCCGCGUGCAGGAAGACGGCUCUAUGAGUUGUAAACUGCUUUUGUACAAGGGUAAACCUGAAUACGUGUAUUCAGCUGAAAGUACUGUACGAAUAAGGAUCGGCUAACUCCGUGCCAGCAGCCGCGGUAAUACGUAGGUGGCAAGCGUUGUCCGGAUUUACUGGGUGUAAAGGGCGUGCAGCCGGAGAGACAAGUCAGAUGUGAAAUCCACGGGCUCAACCCGUGAACUGCAUUUGAAACUGUUUCCCUUGAGUGUCGGAGAGGUAAUCGGAAUUCCUUGUGUAGCGGUGAAAUGCGUAGAUAUAAGGAAGAACACCAGCGGCGAAGGCGGAUUACUGGACGAUAACUGACGGUGAGGCGCGAAAGCGUGGGGAGCAAACAGGAUUAGAUACCCGCGUAC
Molecule: ribosomal RNA, 466 nt
Filed under: uncultured bacterium
Lineage: Bacteria
Description: bacterial SSU rRNA
Rfam family: Bacterial small subunit ribosomal RNA
Source: RNAcentral